RNAcentral lists this ribosomal RNA (470 nucleotides) under uncultured bacterium. Its description in RNAcentral is "partial 16S ribosomal RNA". The stretch from base 20 to 330 matches the Rfam family "Bacterial small subunit ribosomal RNA", at positions 47 to 358 of the family's 1533-position model. The record is from RNAcentral.
GACGAACGCUGGCGGCGUGCUUAACACAUGCAAGUCGAACGCUGAAGCACCAGCUUGCUGGUGUGGAUGAGUGGCGAACGGGUGAGUAAUACGUGAGUAACCUGCCCUUGACUCUGGGAUAAGCCCGGGAAACUGGGUCUAAUACUGGAUGCUACAUGUCACCGCAUGGUGGUGUGUGGAAAGGGUUUACUGGUCUUGGAUGGGCUCACGGCCUAUCAGCUUGUUGGUGAGGUAAUGGCUCACCAAGGCGACGACGGGUAGCCGGCCUGAGAGGGUGACCGGGCACAAGGGGAGAAAAAGACGGCACAGGAGAGAAGGGGAGGCAGCGGGGGGGAGGAUGGAACAAGGGGCGAAGGGGUGAGGAAGAGGGGCAGCGGGAGGGAAGACAGGUUUGGGGUGGAAAACGUGUGGAAGGAGGGAAAAAGCAAGAAGUGACGGUACCGGAAGAGGAAGCGACGGAUAACUACGUG